Molecule: ribosomal RNA, 821 nt
Filed under: Acrobeloides sp.
Lineage: Eukaryota; Metazoa; Nematoda; Chromadorea; Rhabditida; Cephalobidae
Description: SSU rRNA
Rfam family: Eukaryotic small subunit ribosomal RNA
Source: RNAcentral
UGCAUUUAUUAGAACAAAACCAAGCGGCUUCGGCUGUCUUCGGUUGACUCAUAGUAACUGAGCUGAUCGCAUGGUCUUGUACCGGCGACGUGUCUUUCAAGUAUCUGCCGUAUCAACUUUCGAUGGUAGUGUAUCUGACUACCAUGGUGAUCACGCGUAACGGAGAAUAAGGGUUCGGCUCCGGAGAGUUCGCCUGAGAAAUCGCGAACACAUCUAAGGAAGGCAGCAGGCGCGAAAAUUACCCACUCUCAGCACGAGGAGGUAGUGACGAAAAAUAACGAGACCGUUCUCUUAUGAGGCCGGUCAUCGGAAUGGGUACAAUUUAAACCCUUUAACGAGUAUCUAUGAGAGGGCAAGUCUGGUGCCAGCAGCCGCGGUAAUUCCAGCUCUCAAAGUGCAUAGAAUUAUUGCUGCGGUUAAAAAGCUCGUAGUUGGAUCUGUGCCAUAGGACGUGGUCCACCUUCUGGUGCGUACUGCGCUCCUAGGCUUUUUGCUGGUUUUCCCGUCGUAGCCUUCACUGGUUGCGGCGGGUGGCUGGCGAGUUUACUUUGAGAAAAUCAGAGUGCUCAAUACAGGCGUAUCGCUUGAAUGAUUGUGCAUGGAAUAAUAGAAAAGGAUUUCGGUCCUCUUUUAUUGGUUUUGUGGACUGAGAUAAUGGUUAACAGGGACAAACGGGGGCAUUCGUAUCGCUGCGUGAGAGGUGAAAUUCUUGGACCGUAGCGAGACGCCCUACUGCGAAAGCAUUUGCCCAAGAAAUGUCUUCAUUAAUCAAGAACGAAAGUCAGAGGUUCGAAGGCGAUCAGAAAACGCGCAAAAAGAAA